AUUGAACGCUGGCGGCAGGCCUAACACAUGCAAGUCGAACGGUAACAGGAAGACGCUUGCUUCUUUGCUGACGAGUGGCGGACGGGUGAGUAAUGUCUGGGAAACUGCCUGAUGGAGGGGGAUAACUACUGGAAACGGUAGCUAAUACCGCAUAACGUCGCAAGACCAAAGAGGGGGACCUUCGGGCCUCUUGCCAUCGGAUGUGCCCAGAUGGGAUUAGCUAGUAGGUGGGGUAACGGCUCACCUAGGCGACGAUCCCUAGCUGGUCUGAGAGGAUGACCAGCCACAAUGGAACUGAGACACGGUCCAGACUCCUAAGGGAGGCAGCAGUGGGGAAUAUUGCACAAAGGGCGCAAGCCUGAUGCAGCCAUGCCGCGUGUAUGAAGAAGGCCUUCGGGUUGUAAAGUACUUUCAGCGGGGAGGAAGGGAGUAAAGUUAAUAACUUUGCUCAUUGACGUUACCCGCAGAAGAAGCACCGGCUAACUCCGUG
This 490-nucleotide ribosomal RNA is filed under the name uncultured bacterium. RNAcentral's name for it is "partial 16S ribosomal RNA". It matches the Rfam family "Bacterial small subunit ribosomal RNA", at positions 30 to 507 of the family's 1533-position model. The record is from RNAcentral.